CGUAGGAGGCGAGCGUUAUCCGGAUUCACUGGGCGUAAAGCGCGUGCAGGUGGCUUGGUAAGUUAGGCGUGAAAUCUCCCGGCUCAACUGGGAGAGGUCGUCUAAUACUACCGGGCUAGAGAGCAGAAGAGGAAGAUGGAAUUCCCGGUGUAGUGGUGAAAUGCGUAGAUAUCGGGAGGAACACCAGUGGCGAAGGCGAUCUUCUGGUCUGUUUCUGACACUCAGACGCGACAGCUAGGGUAGUAAACGGGAUUAGAGACCCCGGUAAUCCUAGCCGUAAACGAUGUGAACUUGGCGUUGGUGGGUUAAACUCCAUCAGUGCCGCAGCAAACGCGAUAAGUUCACCGCCUGGGGACUACGGCCGCAAGGUUA
RNAcentral lists this ribosomal RNA (372 nucleotides) under uncultured organism. Its description in RNAcentral is "bacterial SSU rRNA". It matches the Rfam family "Bacterial small subunit ribosomal RNA", at positions 526 to 896 of the family's 1533-position model. The record is from RNAcentral.